AUGUACCCUUCUCUAAGGAAUAGCCUCUGGAAACGGAGAGUAAUACCUUAUACGCCCUUCGGGGGAAAGAUUUAUCGGAGAGGGAUCAGCCCGCGUUAGAUUAGAUAGUUGGUGGGGUAACGGCCUACCAAGUCUACGAUCUAUAGCUGGUUUUAGAGGAUGAUCAGCAACACUGGGACUGAGACACGGCCCAGACUCCUGCGGGAGGCAGCAGUGGGGAAUCUUGGACAAUGGGCGCAAGCCUGAUCCAGCCAUGCCGCGUGAGUGAUGAAGGCCUUAGGGUCGUAAAGCUCUUUCGCCAGGGAUGAUAAUGACAGUACCUGGUAAAGAAACCCCGGCUAACUCCGUGCCAGCAGCCGCGGUAAUACGGAGGGGGUUAGCGUUGUUCGGAAUUACUGGGCGUAAAGCGCGCGUAGGCGGGUUGUUAAGUUAGAGGUGAAAUCCCGGGGCUCAACCCCGGAACUGCCUUUAAUACUGGCAACCUAGAGUUCGAGAGAGGUGAGUGGAAUUCCGAGUGUAGAGGUGAAAUUCGUAGAUAUUCGGAGGAACA
Molecule: ribosomal RNA, 550 nt
Filed under: uncultured bacterium
Lineage: Bacteria
Description: bacterial SSU rRNA
Rfam family: Bacterial small subunit ribosomal RNA
Source: RNAcentral